UUGAUGGCCGUAAACAUUGUGAGUAGCACUUGAAACGGCCCUUCCCAUUGUGGUUCCAACGUCUUUUCUUGGUCCUGAUUCCAAUGGUCCUUGUCUGCUCCCGCAGUGGACAGCUGGGAGCGGAGUUCCUCCGAGAAGAGCUCGGGGUGCACCUAGGACGUCCACCCUCCAGCAGU
Athene cunicularia (burrowing owl) is the source of this 176-nucleotide long non-coding RNA. RefSeq lists it as uncharacterized. The transcript is spliced from 3 exons. The record is from RefSeq and is a predicted model, not a curated record. NCBI's taxonomy places the organism in Eukaryota, Metazoa, Chordata, Aves, Strigiformes, Strigidae.